AAUCUUCCACAAUGGGCGAAAGCCUGAUGGAGCAACGCCGCGUGAGUGAAGAAGGUUNNNGGAUCNUCAAACUCUGUUGUAGGNGACNAACAAUUACAGUAGUAACUGGCUGUCCCUUGACGGUUCCUUAUUAUAAAGCCACUGCUACCUACGUGCCAUCAGCCGCGGUAAUACGUAGGUCGCAAGCGUUGUCCGGAAUUAUUGGGCGUAAAGCGCGAGCAGGCGGUCCUUUAAGUCUGAAGUGAAAGCCCACGGCUCAACCGGGGAGGGGCAUUGGAAACUGGGGGACUUGAGUGCAGAAGAGGAAAGUGGAAUUCCAAGUGUAGCGGUGAAAUGCGUAGAGAUUUGGAGGAACACCAGUGGCGAAGGCGACUUUCUGGUCUGUAACUGACGCUGAGGCGCGAAAGCGUGGGGAGCAAACAGG
Molecule: ribosomal RNA, 424 nt
Filed under: uncultured bacterium
Lineage: Bacteria
Description: partial 16S ribosomal RNA
Rfam family: Bacterial small subunit ribosomal RNA
Source: RNAcentral